ACGGGAGGCAGCAGUGGGGAAUAUUGGGCAAUGGGCGAAAGCCUGACCCAGCAAUGCCGCGUGAAGGAAGAAGGUCUUCGGAUUGUAAACUUCUUUUAUGAGGGACGAAGGAUUUUACGGUACCUCAUGAAUAAGCCACGGCUAACUACGUGCCAGCAGCCGCGGUAAUACGUAGGUUGCAAGCGUUAUCCGGAUUUACUGGGUGUAAAGGGCGCGUAGGCGGGGAAGCAAGUCAGAUGUGAAAUCCAUGUGCUCAACCCAUGAACUGCAUUUGAAACUGUUUCUCUUGAGUGCUGGAGAGGUAGAUGGAAUUCCUAGUGUAGCGGUGAAAUGCGUAGAUAUUAGGAAGAACACCAGUGGCGAAGGCGAUCUACUGGACAGUAACUGACGCUGAGGCGCGAAAGCGUGGGGAGCAAACAGGAUUAGAUACCCUGGUA
RNAcentral lists this ribosomal RNA (437 nucleotides) under uncultured Oscillospiraceae bacterium. RNAcentral's name for it is "partial 16S ribosomal RNA". It matches the Rfam family "Bacterial small subunit ribosomal RNA", at positions 341 to 792 of the family's 1533-position model. Lineage: Bacteria; Bacillati; Bacillota; Clostridia; Eubacteriales; Oscillospiraceae. The record is from RNAcentral.